UAGGACAUUGGUAGAAUGAAAAGCUGGGAAAAUUACUAUCAACACACAUAGUUUUCAGACUUUCUUAAUUUAAGCAACUGUUGUAGCACAGUCAUUGAUCCUAUCUAAAUGAAUCAGGAUCUUUUUCACAAUCUCCAGCCUCAAUGAAAUAACACUUCAUCUACAAUUAUAUUAUUAUUAUUAGAGACUCACACUGUCACCCAGGCUGGAGUGCAGUGGUGCAGUCUCGGCUCACUGCAGCCUCCGCCACCAGGGCUCAAGCGAUUUUCCUGCCUCUGCCUCCCGAGUAGCUGGGAUUACAGGCCACCGUGCCCAGCUAGUUUUUGUAUUUUUGGGUAGAGGUGGGGUUUCACAUGUUGGCCAGGUUGGUCUCAAACUCCUGACCCCAAGUGAUCUGCUCACCUUGGUCUCCCAAAGUGCUGGGACUACAGGCGUGAGCCACCAUGCCUGGCCUUCAUUUACAAUUAUUAAAAAAUACUAUGCUUCCUGAGUUGUCCAUAUUUGAAUGAGAUACUUAUGAGGAAUGUGGCAUUUUCCAUGCUUUAUUACUGAUAAAUUUUUUGGACAUUUCUGCUGCAUCAUCCAUUCUCUGUGAUAAAGAUUGUGGUACACUAACAGGGAAUAAGGAGGCCCUUGGAGAGGGAGACAGACAGAGGAACAGCCGGUUGGUAGAGCAACCAGAAGACACACAACACGUAUUGGUUAAGUUUGCUGUCUUAUAUGGGCAUGGUUUGUGGUGCUCCAAAGCAAUUACAAUAACAUCAAAGAUCAUUGGUGUAACAGAUGACCCUAACAGACAUAAUAGUACUAAAAAAGUUUGAAACAUUGCAAGAAUUAUCAAAAUGUGGCACAGAGACAGAAAGUGAGCACAUGCUAUUAAAAAGAAUGACAUCAACAGACUUGCUCGAAGAAAGGUUGCCACAAACCUUCAAUUUGUAAAAGAAGAAAAAAUACAUGUGAAGUGCAACAAAGCAAAGCACAAUGAAACAAGAGUUUAAGAUUGCUACAAUUCUAUAAGUAUUGACUGACAUCAUUAGAUUAUUAAGAAUGAAGAACUUGAAGGAAAGAUACCGUUUCCAUAUGAGCACGCUCUCCAGUUGCUUCCUGAGAAAGGGCUCAUGGAAGUUUCAUUUUCAGGAAUAUAAUUGCCGAUCCUCUGCAAAAUUCUUCAGCUAAUAUUGACUUGAAGCAACUACAAGGCUGCCCCCAGAUAGUUUCAGAUAUCUGCAGUUGGCUAAGUAACUUACAAUUAGUACACUCACUUUCUGUCUUCUAAUAUUUUGUUGGUAUCCUUUACUAUGUUCAAUCUCCUGAUAUGUUUGUCAUUGUGAGUUUGCAUAUAUACUGUAGUUUUAAAAAAUUGAUAUUGCAAUAUUUAAAUGAAUGAUAUUGCAAUAUUGACAUGGAAUAGAGAUUGGGAGAAUAAGUAUGAAGUAUGAUAAAACUACUAUGUUUAACAGGAAGUUAAUACAAUGUAUUAGUUAAAGGAUUUUACUACUAAUGCACAACCCCAAAUACCCAGAUUAUGUGACAAUUCAUAAUUUUAAAGAGGCACAUCAUAACAUUGUUAUUGUCUAUCCAGUGACUAAUUAAAGUAUAAUCUUUUUAAAUGCUUGUUUUUGAAAUUUAUAAAGUUCAUGGAUAACAGUUCAGUUGUGAUUUACUUGUAAAAUAUGUAAGGAUAGAAUCUAUUUGAGUACAUUAAUAAAUUAUUUUGGCCUUCCAUUUUGCAGUUUUUAAGGGCUGAAGAGAACACUCAAUUUUUCAUUUGUACUAUACUCCAUUACGUAUGAAAUAACAGAUGCACAUUUUUGUUGUUGUUGAAAGUUGGGGCCUCCAAAACUUUAUGACAGAUCGUUCAUAAGUUUCAUGGUUCUAAUGACUGGAAAAAUAAUACAGAACUUAAGCCAUGGAGAUUAUGGGUAGAGAGUAUAGAAUUUAUAUCACAUAAAUCAGUAUAAGAUGUUGGUGUUUUAAGAGACUGUUACUCAUUUCAUAUCCAUUACUCAGAUAGAUCACUUUAAUUUAGAAUCCUUCAACUUUAAUGAUUCUGUAAAUAAUGGGAAGGUAUA
This 2072-nucleotide long non-coding RNA is filed under the name Homo sapiens (human). RNAcentral's name for it is "HSALNT0011273". Lineage: Eukaryota; Metazoa; Chordata; Mammalia; Primates; Hominidae. The record is from RNAcentral.